AGAGCGAACGCUGGCGGCAGGCCUAACACAUGCAAGUCGAACGAACUCUUCGGAGUUAGUGGCGGACGGGUGAGUAACACGUGGGAACGUGCCUUUAGGUUCGGAAUAACUCAGGGAAACUUGUGCUAAUACCGAAUGUGCCCUUCGGGGGAAAGAUUUAUCGCCUUUAGAGCGGCCCGCGUCUGAUUAGCUAGUUGGUGAGGUAAUGGCUCACCAAGGCGACGAUCAGUAGCUGGUCUGAGAGGAUGAUCAGCCACAUUGGGACUGAGACACGGCCCAAACUCCUACGGGAGGCAGCAGUGGGGAAUCUUGCGCAAUGGGCGAAAGCCUGACGCAGCCAUGCCGCGUGAAUGAUGAAGGUCUUAGGAUUGUAAAAUUCUUUCACCGGGGACGAUAAUGACGGUACCCGGAGAAGAAGCCCCGGCUAACUUCGUGCCAGCAGCCGCGGUAAUACGAAGGGGGCUAGCGUUGCUCGGAAUUACUGGGCGUAAAGGGAGCGUAGGCGGACAUUUAAGUCAGGGGUGAAAUCCCGGGGCUCAACCUCGGAAUUGCCUUUGAUACUGGGUGUCUUGAGUAUGAGAGAGGUGUGUGGAACUCCGAGUGUAGAGGUGAAAUUCGUAGAUAUUCGGAAGAACACCAGUGGCGAAGGCGACACACUGGCUCAUUACUGACGCUGAGGCUCGAAAGCGUGGGGAGCAAACAGGAUUAGAUACCCUGGUAGUCCACGCCGUAA
RNAcentral lists this ribosomal RNA (733 nucleotides) under Caulobacteraceae bacterium. RNAcentral's name for it is "bacterial SSU rRNA". It matches the Rfam family "Bacterial small subunit ribosomal RNA", at positions 26 to 805 of the family's 1533-position model. Lineage: Bacteria; Pseudomonadati; Pseudomonadota; Alphaproteobacteria; Caulobacterales; Caulobacteraceae. The record is from RNAcentral.